Molecule: ribosomal RNA, 120 nt
Filed under: Triticum dicoccoides
Lineage: Eukaryota; Viridiplantae; Streptophyta; Magnoliopsida; Poales; Poaceae
Source: RNAcentral
GGAUGCGAUCAUACCAGCACUAAAGCACCGGAUCCCAUCAGAACUCCGAAGUUAAGCGUGCUUGGGCGGGAGUAGUACUAGGAUAGGUGACCUCCUGGGAAGUCCUCGUGUUGCAUUCCC